AGUGAACGCUGGCGGUAGGCCUAACACAUGCAAGUCGAACGGCAGCACAGUAAGAGCUUGCUCUUACGGGUGGCGAGUGGCGGACGGGUGAGGAAUACAUCGGAAUCUACUUUUUCGUGGGGGAUAACGUAGGUAAACUUACGCUAAUACCGCAUACGACCUACGGGUGAAAGCAGGGGAUCUUCGGACCUUGCGCGAUUGAAUGAGCCGAUGUCGGAUUAGCUAGUUGGCGGGGUAAAGGCCCACCAAGGCGACGAUCCGUAGCUGGUCUGAGAGGAUGAUCAGCCACACUGGAACUGAGACACGGUCCAGACUCCUACGGGAGGCAGCAGUGGGGAAUAUUGGACAAUGGUCGCAAGCCUGAUCCAGCCAUACCGCGUGGGUGAAGAAGGCCUUCGGGUUGUAAAGCCCUUUUGUUGGGAAAGAAAAGCAGCAGGUUAAUACCCCGCUGUUCUGACGGUACCCAAAGAAUAAGCACCGGCUAACUUCGUG
Molecule: ribosomal RNA, 492 nt
Filed under: uncultured bacterium
Lineage: Bacteria
Description: partial 16S ribosomal RNA
Rfam family: Bacterial small subunit ribosomal RNA
Source: RNAcentral